GUAGGUGAACCUGCGGAAGGAUCAUUACCUUUUGCUUAUAGCACUCCCAAGGCCUGGCCUAUGGUUUGUUAAGGCAAUAAACCCUUGUCUAUAAUACCUUUGUCUAUCCUUUGGCAGGCAUAGGGCUGCCAUUGGACUUACAUAAACCUUUUAUAGUAGCCUAUACUUCUGAACAUUAUAAUCAUUAUAACUUUCAACAAUGGAUCUCUUGGCUCUG
RNAcentral lists this unclassified non-coding RNA (217 nucleotides) under rhizosphere metagenome. Its description in RNAcentral is "partial ribosomal RNA internal transcribed spacer region". The record is from RNAcentral.